AGAUUGAACGCUGGCGGCAGGCCUAACACAUGCAAGUCGAGCGGUAGAGAGGUGCUUGCACCUCUUGAGAGCGGCGGACGGGUGAGUAAUGCCUAGGAAUCUGCCUAGUGGUGGGGGAUAACGUUCGGAAACGGACGCUAAUACCGCAUACGUCCUACGGGAGAAAGCGGGGGACCUUCGGGCCUCGCGCCAUUAGAUGAGCCUAGGUCGGAUUAGCUAGUUGGUGAGGUAAUGGCUCACCAAGGCGACGAUCCGUAACUGGUCUGAGAGGAUGAUCAGUCACACUGGAACUGAGACACGGCCCAGACUCCUACGGGAGCAGCAGUGGGGAAUUUGGACAAUGGGGGAAACCCUGAUCCAGCCAUCCCGCGUGUGCGAUGAAGGCCUUGGGUGUAAGCACUUUGGCAGGG
Molecule: ribosomal RNA, 410 nt
Filed under: uncultured soil bacterium
Lineage: Bacteria
Description: bacterial SSU rRNA
Rfam family: Bacterial small subunit ribosomal RNA
Source: RNAcentral